AGUGACAAGAAAUAACAAUACAGACUUUACGGUUUUGUAAUUGGAAUGAGUUAAGUAUAAACCCCUUUACAAGUAUCAAUUGGAGGGCAAGUCUGGUGCCAGCAGCCGCGGUAAUUCCAGCUCCAAUAGCGUAUAUUAAAGUUGUUGCAGUUAAAAAGCUCGUAGUUGGAUUUCUGUUAAUACCUUAUAUAUAAUAUUUUUUUUUUAAAUAUUAAUAUGUAAGAUUAACAUAAUUCAUAUUUUUAAGACUGAAUUUUUAGUUUUGAUAAUAUGAAAUUUUACUUUGAGAAAAUUAGAGUGCUUAAAGCAGG
RNAcentral lists this ribosomal RNA (311 nucleotides) under Cryptosporidium felis. Its description in RNAcentral is "partial small subunit ribosomal RNA". It matches the Rfam family "Eukaryotic small subunit ribosomal RNA", at positions 466 to 784 of the family's 1831-position model. Lineage: Eukaryota; Apicomplexa; Conoidasida; Eucoccidiorida; Cryptosporidiidae. The record is from RNAcentral.